RNAcentral lists this transfer RNA (74 nucleotides) under Consotaella salsifontis. RNAcentral's name for it is "tRNA_Arg_CCT". It matches the Rfam family "tRNA". From Rfam's summary of the family: Transfer RNA (tRNA) molecules are approximately 80 nucleotides in length. Their secondary structure includes four short double-helical elements and three loops (D, anti-codon, and T loops). Further hydrogen bonds mediate the characteristic L-shaped molecular structure. tRNAs have two regions of fundamental functional importance: the anti-codon, which is responsible for specific mRNA codon recognition, and the 3' end, to which the tRNAs corresponding amino acid is attached (by aminoacyl-tRNA synthetases). tRNAs cope with the degeneracy of the genetic code in two manners: having more than one tRNA (with a specific anti-codon) for a particular amino acid; and 'wobble' base-pairing, i.e. permitting non-standard base-pairing at the 3rd anti-codon position. The record is from RNAcentral. Lineage: Bacteria; Pseudomonadati; Pseudomonadota; Alphaproteobacteria; Hyphomicrobiales; Aurantimonadaceae.
GGUCCCGUAGCUCAGUCGGAUAGAGCAUCAGAUUCCUAAUCUGAGGGUCGCGCGUUCGAGUCGCGCCGGGAUCA